This 627-nucleotide ribosomal RNA is filed under the name uncultured fungus. RNAcentral describes it as "eukaryotic LSU rRNA". It matches the Rfam family "Eukaryotic large subunit ribosomal RNA", at positions 24 to 664 of the family's 3401-position model. Lineage: Eukaryota; Fungi. The record is from RNAcentral.
CCCGCUGAACUUAAGCAUAUCAAUAAGCGGAGGAAAAGAAACCAGCAGGGAUUACCCUAGUAACGGCGAGUGAAGCGGUAACAGCUCAAAUUUAAAAUCUGGCCUUCACGGGUCCGAGUUGUAAUUUGUAGAGGAUGUUUCGGACAAAGCUGUGGUUUAAGUUUCUUGGAACAGAACGUCACAGAGGGUGAGAAUCCCGUCUAGAACCGAGGGCCGCGUCCAUGUGAAACACCUUCGACGAGUCGAGUUGUUUGGGAAUGCAGCUCAAAAUGGGUGGUAAAUUUCAUCUAAAGCUAAAUAUUGGCCAGAGACCGAUAGCGCACAAGUAGAGUGAUCGAAAGAUGAAAAGUACUUUGAAAAGAGAGUUAAACAGUAUGUGAAAUUGUUGAAAGGGAAGCGCUUGCAACCAGACUUGUGUGUGGCGGUUCCCCCGGUCUUCUGACCGGGUUAUUCUGUCACAGCCAGGCCAGCAUCGAUUCAGGUGGCCAGUUAAAGGCUCUGGGAAGGUAUCUACCCUUCGGGGUCGACUUACAGCCCAGGGUGUAAUGUGGCCUACCUGGAUCGAGGAACGCGCUCUUUGCCCGGAUGUUGGCGUAAUGGUUGCAAGCGGCCCGUCUUGAAACACGG